UGGCCUCGGCCGGGCAUGCCUGUUUGAGCGCACGCACCUCUCUUGCCUCGUAACGCAGUUCCGGACUGUGUCGGGCAGUGUUGAGCGAUAUGCCGGUGUCGCCUGGCUCGCUCUGAAUGCAUGAGCAGGAUCUUUGGCUCGAAGCGACGUGAUAAGUAUCUACGUCCAAGUAGAGCUGGAAGAGCCCGCUUUCAAACGGUCCCCUUGCGGGACAAUUUCAGUGAGCACUGCAUCAAAUCAGGUAGGACUACCCGCUGAACUUAAGCAUAUCAAUAAGCGGAGGAAAAGAAACUAACAAGGAUUCCCCUAGUAACUGCGAGUGAAGCGGGAAGAGCUCAAAUUUGAAAUCUGGCUAUUGCCCGAGUUGUAACCUAGAGAAGUGUUUUCGGCCGCUGCCUCGGACAAGUCCCUUGGAACAGGGUGUCAUAGAGGGUGAGAAUCCCGUCUGCCGAGCUCCCAGCGUCUACAGAUACACUCUCGAAGAGUCGAGUUGUUUGGGAAUGCAGCUCAAAAUGGGUGGUAAACUCCAUCUAAAGCUAAAUAUUGGCGAGAGACCGAUAGCGAACAAGUACCGUGAGGGAAAGAUGAAAAGCACUUUGGAAAGAGAGUUAAACAGUACGUGAAAUUGUUGAAAGGGAAGCGCUUGGAGUCAGUCGCGUCUUCAGAGACUCAGCCGUCAAGGUGCAUUUCUCUGUCGACGGGCCAGUAUCGAUUUUGACCGCGGGACAAGGGCGUAAGGAAUGUGGCAGCUCCGGCUGUGUUAUAGCCUUGCGUCGUAUGCCGCGGUUGGGAUCGAGGAUCGCCUUGCAGGAUAC
This 815-nucleotide ribosomal RNA is filed under the name Dendrodacrys brasiliense. RNAcentral's name for it is "partial 28S ribosomal RNA". The stretch from base 228 to 815 matches the Rfam family "Eukaryotic large subunit ribosomal RNA", at positions 1 to 608 of the family's 3401-position model. Lineage: Eukaryota; Fungi; Basidiomycota; Dacrymycetes; Dacrymycetales; Dacrymycetaceae. The record is from RNAcentral.